Molecule: ribosomal RNA, 937 nt
Filed under: Quambalaria cyanescens
Lineage: Eukaryota; Fungi; Basidiomycota; Exobasidiomycetes; Microstromatales; Quambalariaceae
Description: LSU rRNA
Rfam family: Eukaryotic large subunit ribosomal RNA
Source: RNAcentral
UAGCAUAUCAAUAAGCGGAGGAAAAGAAACUAACAAGGAUUCCCCUAGUAACGGCGAGUGAAGCGGGAAGAGCUCAAAUUUGAAAGCUGGCACCUUCGGUGUCCGCGUUGUAAUCUCGAGAAGUGUUUUCCGUGCUGGACCAUGUACAAGUUCCUUGGAAUAGGACGUCAUAGAGGGUGAAAAUCCCGUACUUGACAUGGACGCCCAGUGCUUUGUGAUACACUCUCCACGAGUCGAGUUGUUUGGGAAUGCAGCUCAAAAUGGGUGGUAAAUUCCAUCUAAAGCUAAAUAUUGGGGAGAGACCGAUAGCGAACAAGUACCGUGAGGGAAAGAUGAAAAGCACUUUGGAAAGAGAGUUAAACAGUACGUGAAAUUGUCGAAAGGGAAGCGCUUGAAGUUAGACAUGCUUGCCGGGAUUCAGCCUUGCUUUUGCUUGGUGCAUUUCCCGGUGUGCAGGCCAGCAUCAGUUUUGUUUGCCGGAUAAGGGUGAGAGGAACGUGGCCCCUCGGGGUGUUAUAGCCUCUCACUGGAUACGGCGGAUGGGACUGAGGACCGCAGUGUGCCUUUAUGGCGGGCCUUCGGGCACCUUCACACUUAGGAUGCUGGCGUAAUGGCUUUAAGCGACCCGUCUUGAAACACGGACCGAGGAGUCUAACAUGUCUGCGAGUCUUUGGGUGGCAAACCCAUGGGCGCAAUGAAAGUGAAUGCAGGUGGGAUCCGCAAGGAGCACCAUCGACCGAACCGGAUCUUCUGUGAUGGUUUUGAGUAAGAGCAUAUAUGUUGGGACCCGAAAGAUGGUGAACUAUGCCUGAAUAGGGCGAAGCCAGAGGAAACUCUGGUGGAGGCUCGUAGCGGUUCUGACGUGCAAAUCGAUCGUCAAAUUUGGGUAUAGGGGCGAAAGACUAAUCGAACCAUCCUAGUAGCUGGUUCCUGCCGA